RNAcentral lists this transfer RNA (73 nucleotides) under Clostridiales bacterium. RNAcentral's name for it is "tRNA-Thr". It matches the Rfam family "tRNA". From Rfam's summary of the family: Transfer RNA (tRNA) molecules are approximately 80 nucleotides in length. Their secondary structure includes four short double-helical elements and three loops (D, anti-codon, and T loops). Further hydrogen bonds mediate the characteristic L-shaped molecular structure. tRNAs have two regions of fundamental functional importance: the anti-codon, which is responsible for specific mRNA codon recognition, and the 3' end, to which the tRNAs corresponding amino acid is attached (by aminoacyl-tRNA synthetases). tRNAs cope with the degeneracy of the genetic code in two manners: having more than one tRNA (with a specific anti-codon) for a particular amino acid; and 'wobble' base-pairing, i.e. permitting non-standard base-pairing at the 3rd anti-codon position. The record is from RNAcentral. Lineage: Bacteria; Bacillati; Bacillota; Clostridia; Eubacteriales.
GGUGUAGCUCAAUUGGUAGAGCAACUGACUUGUAAUCAGUAGGUUGGGGGUUCAAGUCCUCUCACCAGCUCCA